UACAGAGGUGGCAAGCGUUGCUCGGAAUUACUGGGCGUAAAGGGCGCGUAGGCGGAUAGUUUAGUCAGAGGUGAAAGCCCAGGGCUCAACCUUGGAACUGCCUUUGAUACUGGCUAUCUUGAGUUCGGGAGAGGUGAGUGGAAUGCCGAGUGUAGAGGUGAAAUUCGUAGAUAUUCGGCGGAACACCAGUGGCGAAGGCGACUCACUGGCCCGAUACUGACGCUGAGGCGCGAAAGCGUGGGGAGCAAACAGG
Molecule: ribosomal RNA, 253 nt
Filed under: uncultured bacterium
Lineage: Bacteria
Description: partial 16S ribosomal RNA
Rfam family: Bacterial small subunit ribosomal RNA
Source: RNAcentral